UACGUAGGGUGCAGGCGUUAAUCGGAAUUACUGGGCGUAAAGCGUGCGCAGGCGGUUUCUUAAGUCAGAUGUGAAAGCCCCGGGCUUAACCUGGGAACUGCGUUUGAAACUGGGAGACUUGAGUGUGGCAGAGGGGGGUGGAAUUCCACGUGUAGCAGUGAAAUGCGUAGAUAUGCGGAGGAACACCGAUGGCGAAGGCAGCCCCCUGGACCUGUACUGACGCUCAUGCACGAAAGCGUGGGGAGCAAACAGG
Molecule: ribosomal RNA, 253 nt
Filed under: uncultured bacterium
Lineage: Bacteria
Description: partial 16S ribosomal RNA
Rfam family: Bacterial small subunit ribosomal RNA
Source: RNAcentral